GAUUUCUGACUGUGUACAUACGGCCUUGACCAUUAUGGUCUUGUGCUGUACUGUAUCAGUCAUCCUUCUAAGGAAUACACGUGUCCUUCAUUGGACAUCGUGUACGACUUAGAUCUUUUACUUUGAAAAAAUUAGAGUGUUUAAAGCAGGCUUACGCUUCUGAAUACAUUAGCAUGGAAUAAUAAUUUAGGACUUCGGUUCUAUUUUGUUGGUUUCUAGGACUGAAGUAAUGAUUGAUAGGGAUAGUUGGGGGUGCUAGUAUUCAGCGGCCAGAGGUGAAAUUCUUGGAUUCGCUGAAGACUAACUUAUGCGAAAGCAUU
Molecule: ribosomal RNA, 320 nt
Filed under: Thaumatomonadida sp.
Lineage: Eukaryota; Cercozoa; Imbricatea; Thaumatomonadida
Description: SSU rRNA
Rfam family: Eukaryotic small subunit ribosomal RNA
Source: RNAcentral